GGUUAACGCUGGCGGCGUGCCUAACACAUGCAAGUCGAGCGAGGGCUUUCUUCUCGCAAGAGAAGUGAGUUCCUAGCGGCAAACGGGUGAGUAACACGUGGGCAACCUGUCCUCUCGCGGGGGAUAACACCGAGAAAUCGGUGCUAAUACCGCAUGUCAUCGCCGGAGGCAUCUUCGGCGCGAAAAGCAGCAAUGCACGAGAGGGUGGGCCCGCGGCCUAUCAGCUAGUCGGUGGGGUAACGGCCUACCGAGGCUUUGACGGGUAGCUGG
Molecule: ribosomal RNA, 270 nt
Filed under: uncultured bacterium
Lineage: Bacteria
Description: partial 16S ribosomal RNA
Rfam family: Bacterial small subunit ribosomal RNA
Source: RNAcentral